CGCUGCGCCAUGAGCAAAGUCUGCGGCCCCUCACUCGGCGCGGCUCCGGGAACACUGGGGCGGGGGUGGGUGAUUCAGUCCCCCACCCCCGGGUGUCCUGACUCCCUGGUGGCCCUGGGCUGACAGCUCCACACCUUGGGAGGCCGCACCCCCACCUGCCGCAUUUCCUCGUUCUGAGUCACCCUUGCUCAGAACGCUUGACUUUGGGACUUCCUGUCCGCACUCGCGGCCCCUAACCUGCCCCGGGAGCCCGGGAGUGCGGCUUGGGAAGGAGGGAAAGGAGUGUGUGAGCAGGGAUUGGCCCGAACCUAUCUCCACGCUCUCCCCCGGGACUGGAGGUGAAGGGGGGCGUGGAGAAAAUCUCAGGGAACAGGGGCUUCGACAGGGGGCUCCCGCCCGCCCGAGCCCCCUCCCCAAAAUGCGAGGCCUGCACAGUAUGCCUUCUCCGCAAAACCUCGGCAAGCGGGUUAGUGAAUUCAGGUCACUAAGAAGCUGAGCCCGCGGAAAGCUGCCCAAACACCCCCUUCUCUAGGGGACUCCCCACGCCCCCCGCCGGGACGCGUUCCCGAAGUCGCCGCCUGGACUGCAACCGCGUGGCCUGCGCCGCGUCCUCUUCUCCGCAGCCUCCGAGGCCCGUGCGACCAAGCUGAAACCGCUUAUUCUCCGGAGCCCCUAUGACCCCGGGUGGGGGCCAGGGCUCGCCUCGAUCGCAGCCCGUGCGCCCUCCGGACUCCAGUUCGCCGGGACUGGGCGACACCAGAAGCGGCUAGUGUGAGUGAAACAAACGGGAAAUUUGCUCUGGCCCGCCUGCCCAGCCACCCACGGCUGCCUGUUGGCCAAUCACCAUUUGACCAGUCCAGGAAGAGCAACUGUGGCAGGCCUGAUUUCCUGGGAGGCCCCAGACUCCCUUUGCCUACCUCUUCCUCUCUGACCCCAUCCUCGCUUUGAUGCCCGGGACCUGCUACCCAGGAUCUCGCUCUGUCACCCAGGCCAGAGUGCAGUGGUGC
RNAcentral lists this long non-coding RNA (1007 nucleotides) under Homo sapiens (human). Its description in RNAcentral is "HSALNT0290436". The record is from RNAcentral. Lineage: Eukaryota; Metazoa; Chordata; Mammalia; Primates; Hominidae.